AGAUACAGAGCCAACCCUGAAAGCAACCACAAGAGGAUUAUGCCUACUUGAAAAGCUAACGCAUGUCCUAAGUGAGCUGCAAAGAGAAAACUGCAUGAUGUCCUGACAAGAGUAGCCUGCUGCAGCCCUAUGGAGGCAGAUGAAGGAAAAACAGAUGAGCAAAAUGGGAUGUUGGAAAGAACAUCCUCUCAAUUACACUGUUGUCCCUUCCUGACACUACGGUGAAAACCCAGACUGCAACAUUGCAGGGUCAUUUCCAUAGUGAGAAGUUGAACAAGCAUCUCCUUCCUGGUCUGUGACAUCCCAGGGAUCUGUCAGAGACUGUAUUAAUGUUUUUCACAAGCUACUCAAACUUCUUGCUGACAGCCUCAUUCUGCAUACGUGCAGUCCUCCUUGGAGAUGUUUGUAUGAGUCAGUCUGCUACUGAUUGCUAAGGCAGAGUGGAGUUCCUAUCUCUUAAGUGUGGGUUCCUAUCUCAUUUUCUGUGACCAGAAAAUUAUCAAACCUCUUACUUCUGUGCUCUUUCCUCAUUCCAAUUCUUUGUUUCUCAGAGGAGCUGCCCCCAGAUAUUUCCUGGGUGAUCACUUCAAAUUUUUUGUCACUUGCCUCACCUUAGGCUUUAAUAACAAAUACUACAAAGUGGCCAAAAUCCUAUUAAAAAGAUUGAACAAAAUUUGAAAAUUUUGAAUGAUGCAUAUACAAAAUGACUAGAAAAUUUUCAUUAUUUUUUAAGUAGUGAAGCAUUUAGAAAAAAUAAUGGUUUCAUUUCAAUGCUGUGCAAGAAUGCAGAAGUUUUGCAAUUGUUAGCUCUGACAGUAAUUAGUUUAAAAAAUAUGAAAAAAAAAGGAACCCACGUGUCCCUUAAUAUGAAACUACUGCUGUUUGAAGCAAUGUAGACAGGAAUUAUAGUAAAUAAAAUGGAUUUCCUGAGAA
This is a long non-coding RNA of Rhea pennata, 933 nucleotides long. RefSeq lists it as uncharacterized. Lineage: Eukaryota; Metazoa; Chordata; Aves; Rheiformes; Rheidae. The transcript has 2 exons. The record is from RefSeq and is a predicted model, not a curated record.